Long non-coding RNA from Loxodonta africana (African savanna elephant), 1595 nucleotides. RefSeq lists it as uncharacterized. Lineage: Eukaryota; Metazoa; Chordata; Mammalia; Proboscidea; Elephantidae. The transcript has 2 exons. The record is from RefSeq and is a predicted model, not a curated record.
GGCGCGGCGCUGGGCCGCUGCCCAGCGCGUGCUGCCGGCGCCCCGGGACUGCUCGCAGCCAGGUGGCCGGCGGGAGCGGCGUUUCUUGCUCUCGGAGUUGCGCCUUCAAAGCCGCAUGAUCGCCUGACAUUGGUUAGAAAGCGUUUAGCUGCAGCUCAGGGCUGGGAGGGAGUGUGAGGACGCCUGAGGGGCCUCAGCAAAAUUCACAGAAAGAAGGUCACGGUAACAGUGAGAAAUGCGAACCGACGUGUUGGAAGCAAUUGGAGGUCCUAGUCCCCUGAGAUGUGGAGAAGGGUACAACAGACAUGAAAGACGGCUGGCAGUCAGACCAUUAUGGUCCUUUGGAGGAAGUGAAAAAGCAAGCCUGUUGAUCCAAAGAACCAAUCCAGGCACACCACUGAGCUGUUUCUUGCACUGUUGCUUCGGUUUUGAUUCGGUUACUAGCACUUCGUCUUUUCCUAUGUCAACACCAUAACGGAUAACAUUUGUUUAAGCAACCAUUAAACGAAAGGGGAGGGGGCGGGGCGAGGGGAAGGAAUGUUCCUUGUAAGUGUGUAGAACUGUGUUUGUGGACACCGUUUGAAACCACUGCACACCAUUAUUCUCUACUCAAGCUCCGCCUUGGAAGAAAAUGUUGAUAUGCUGUUUAGCUAUUAAUUUUUCCACGUUCAGUUAACACGCAGGGCUCAUCUAGAAACACCCAUUCCUGGUAAAGUUUAUUGCUGAGUGGCCAGUUUCAGAGGCUGGAGCUGACAAAAAUGGAUGCCUACCACCUGUUGUCAUAAUUGCCAGAGUUGUGCUAAGGGGUCGCUCUUUUUUUUUUUUUUUAAUCUAGUUUGACAGACAGUAUUGGCAAUCGUACUGUAUAAGAAAUGUCACUUGGGGACGGGAGGAAGAUUGGGAGGCAGCAGGAUCUGCACAGUGAUCUGGAAAGAAGAAAGUCUUCCUGCUGAAGAGCACACCUUACAACAAGCCUACCCCCUCUCUGAAUAUUUUAGCUCACCUUGAUGAGUCUGGCUUGGGGAUUGGAAUGCGAAGGGAAUUCCCAACAGGUCAGGCAUAAUUUACUGGAUCACUUGGAGUCCCUGGGCGCAAACUGUUAAUAGGUUUGGCUGCUAACCACAUGUUGGAGGUUUGAGUCCAUCCAGAGGUGCCUCAGAAGAAAGGCCUGGCAAUCUAUUUCUGAAAAAUCAGCCAUUGAAAACCAUAUAGAGCACAGUUCUACUCUGACGCGCAAGGGAUUGCUAUAAAUUGGAAUCCACUCAACAGGAACUGUUUUUUUGUUUUUUUUGCAAAGCCUAUAGGCUGGCUAUGAGUCGGAACCAACUCAACGGCACUGGGUUUGGUUUUUUUGUUUUGGUAUAGGCUGGUUUUUGCAUAUCAGUUGCCCCCGCUUCCCCGAUUCCUAGUUUUGGAUGACAUGGAUUCCUAGGGGAGGUGAUCUUAACCACAGUUUUUCUUCCGGGCUGGAAACUGCAGGUACCUGACAGAGCAGGAGUACAAUUGGAGGUCCUCACUCCAGACCCUUCCCCCUUUCUCUUUCUAAUCUCCACCCUUGACUCAGCAUUGUACCAUGAAGAAAAAAAAAAAUACCA